AUGUGUUAGGCAUGCGAGGGCUGUCGCUGACCUCGAGGUCGUGCACGCCGGAGCGUGUCCUCUCACAUAACGCAAUCCAUCUCACCCUUUGUGCACCACCGCGUGGGCCCCCUUUGGGGGGCUCGCGUCUUCACACAAAACCCCCCCUUUAAAAGUGUAGAGUGACCUCAUUUAUGAAAUCAAUACAACUUUCAACAACGGAUCUCUUGGCUCUCGCAUCGAUGAAGAACGCAGCGAAAUGCGAUACGUAAUGUGAAUUGCAGAAUUCAGUGAAUCAUCGAAUCUUUGAACGCACCUUGCGCCCCUUGGUAUUCCGAGGGGCACACCCGUUUGAGCGUCGUGAAUACCUCAACCUCCUUGGUUUCUUCUGGAGACCGAAGGAGGCUUGGACUUUGGAGGCCCUUGCUGGCGUCUCUGCCAGCUCCUCUCAAAUGAAUUAGUGGGGUCCCCUUUGCCGAUCCUUGACAUGUGAUAAGAUGCUUCCGUGUCUCGGUUUCUGGCUCUGUUGCUUUUGGGACCCGCUUCUAAUCGUCUAGACCUUGCGUCAAGACAAUGUUCAAGCCACGUCUCCCUUGUCGGGAAAUGUCCUUGACCUCAUGAACCCUUGACCUCAAAUCGGGUGAGACUACCCGCUGAACUUAAGCAUAUCAAUAAGCGGAGGAAAAGAAACUAACAAGGAUUCCCCUAGUAACUGCGAGUGAAGCGGGAAAAGCUCAAAUUUAAA
Molecule: unclassified non-coding RNA, 724 nt
Filed under: fungal sp. JH-03M
Lineage: Eukaryota; Fungi
Description: partial contains 18S rRNA, ITS1, 5.8S rRNA, ITS2 and 28S RNA
Rfam family: 5.8S ribosomal RNA (bases 187-340)
Source: RNAcentral